This 300-nucleotide signal recognition particle RNA is filed under the name Callithrix jacchus (white-tufted-ear marmoset). RNAcentral describes it as "Metazoan signal recognition particle RNA (ENSCJAG00000085794.1)". It matches the Rfam family "Metazoan signal recognition particle RNA". Rfam says of the family: The signal recognition particle (SRP) is a universally conserved ribonucleoprotein. It is involved in the co-translational targeting of proteins to membranes. Lineage: Eukaryota; Metazoa; Chordata; Mammalia; Primates; Cebidae. The record is from Rfam by way of RNAcentral.
GCCUGGCGUGGUGGCUCGUGCCUGUAGUCCCAGCUACUCGGGAUGCUGAGGUGGGAGGAUCGCUUGAGCCCAGGAGUUCUGGGCUGUAGUGUGCUAUGCUAACCGGGUGUCCACACUAAGUUUGGCAUCAAUAUGGUGACCUCCCGGGGGCGGGUGACCACCAGGUUGCCUAAGGAGGGGUGAACCGGCCCAGGUUGGAAACAGAGCAGGUCAAAACUCCCGCACUGAUCAGUAGUGGGAUCACGCCUGUGAAUAGCCACUGUACUCCAGCCUGGGCAACAUAGCGAGACCCUGUCUCAA